Molecule: long non-coding RNA, 3784 nt
Organism: Bactrocera tryoni
Lineage: Eukaryota; Metazoa; Arthropoda; Insecta; Diptera; Tephritidae
Exons: 3
Source: RefSeq, a predicted model, not a curated record
GUGCAUGCGGUUAACCUCGAAAUCGCCAUUAUACCAUAGAAAGAUAUCACUCAUUAAUUUUGAAACAUAUCAGCGGUUUUUCGAAAAUAUUCUAAAUAAAGAGACAUAAAAUACGGAUAAAUGGAAAUACUGUCUCUGCAAAGACACUUAAAGUUAAAAAAGAGAUUCUUCAAAAACUUUCAUAACCAUAAUAUUUUGAAAUUUGUUCGCAAUAUUUGGUUACUACGGCAGCGAAUGACGGCUAAAAUUUAAAAUAUUAUCAUCAAUUAAAAUUUAAUUAUCACAAUAUCAAUAUUCAACAUAUAAAGGGUAUACUACAAUCAAAACUUAUUUUAUAAUAUUUACUCAACAUCAAGCUUCUCACGGAUUUAGUCAUCAAAGACUUAUAAAAGAAAGAAUGCAUCUUCUGUUUACGCUUGAUGUCCUUUGGUUUUCCCUCACUUUAUUGGCAAGAAAAGUGUGUUUUUUGGAAAAAUCAUCAAAUUUUUAUUGCAAAUGAAGAGAACUUUAUAAGUAAGGAUUCUCGAAAGGUGUUUUGAUAAAGGCUGUUUUUAGUAUAUACCCUGAAAUUAACUAAAUUCAGUUAUAAGCUAUAGUUGCAUGGACCACAGGCUCAACUAGUCAGCCGUCUCUUUUUUCUCCACACAUGAAAUUAAUAUCUUUUGCUGUUGCUGUCCUAUGAGACGUGAAUUGUUGAAUUGCCGUUAGAAGCAUACUAUAGCCAUACCGAUUUAAUAAAUAUAACCAAAUAGAAAUCUAAAUAAUAGAUAUGCUUAUUUGUGAAUAUUGGAAGUCGAAUUAAAUAACUAUUUAAUAAAUUGUUCUGUAUUCUGGUAUUAAUCUGAUCUGUUUCUAACUAGUUCGUAUGUAACCAGCAAGUUUUCUUGACCAUUUGAAGUCUCAUGCUGGGUACCUAUCGGCUGGUUUUUUGAAUGUGGAUCAUUUUAUGCGGUUACAAGGUCCACGCUCAUUUACGAUACAAAAACAAGGAUAAUUUAGCUAAUUGCUUAUAAAUAUCUGAUUAAAAUACACGGUUGCUUGUGACCAACUUACCAUUAUAACAUUGUAAAUUCGUUCAGAGACAAGUUAUUAGAUCUAAAUCAAUUAAAUUGAUAUCAAAUCGUAAAAUGCUCGCAACUUGCUCUUAAGAUUAGUGCUUAAAAACUUAUAUCAGGUGCUAUUUAAUGGAUAUUAGUUCGGAAAAGAGCUUCACUAAAUAAAUUAUUGAUAUUCUCUCUCAAUAAUACUUUCAAAUGAAUAAUGCAAAAUGCUUAAUUUUUGUUAUGUACAUACAUACGUAUGUAACUAUGUAUGUGUUUCAACAAAAAGUAUGGAGUAGGACCAGGCUAGGGCUAGGGCAGGAGAAGGGGCUAGAGCAAAUUUAUUAUUUAUCCUUUUGUGCGCAUGCAACUGUUAGCAACUGUGUAUGUAUGUAUGGGCAAGUUGUGGUGUGCAUGUGUGGACAGCUCAUUGUUAUGCCAAACAAUGCUUCGGAAAGCUGAUUUUUCAUUUUGACACAACUUGCGAAUGUGAACUAAUAGAUACAUAAAAUUGCUGUUUCUUUUUGCAUUGCAUAAUGUGUACAUACAAAUAUGGAGAUUAAUAUGUAUGUCGUUUUGUGAGAAUUGAAUUUGGAGAGUCGUAUGUAUGUACAUACAUAUGUAUGUAUGUAGUAGUAGCUAGAAAUUCAUCAUCUGGAAGAAAAAUAUGUUCUCUCAAAUUCAUGAUAUGAGCAGCUAACAGUACUCGACUCCGUGUCCGAAUGUCAUUAGAGAGGGUGUACGUAUUUCACACCCUAUGCUGGAAAACGUGAGAGAGAAAAAACAGUAAACUAAGGACGACCUACACGGCACAUUCUAAGCAAUAGGUGGAGCACAUACUCUGUGCUACAGUGGUCCUGAAGAGUUAGCUACAGAAACCUUGGCAAUGAACAAAUUAUCAAUGAUAACGCUUCUCUUCAGGAUUAUCAAAUAUCAAAACUUACAUGAAAGAACCGAGAUAAGAUUGAGUUUUUCAAGAUGCGAGCAACGAGUUCAUAUGUUCGCAGCCUGUAAACUUCACAUUGUAGAUCUGUAGCCUACAGACCACGAAUGCAUGUGGUAGCCUCCGAGCCUACAUCGCCGUAUAAUUCACUGCAUCGCAUUUGCGGAUCUAAAUUGCCACAAGAUGAGGAAUAACUGCCGCCCAUAAAUAUAAGCGUCCACGCGUACACACUUUCACAUAAAUACAUAUCCAUCUAUCUAAGUACAUAUGUAUGUUUGUACAUGUAUGUAUGCAUUAUAUUUUUUUAGCUUGUCGCAAUUCAAUAUUUUCUCAAUCCAUUCAUAAAUCACCAUUAAAACGGCAAUUUUUGUCACUUGCUGAAUCAAGAAAGCUAUAAACGUCGCAAAUAAGAUGAAACGAAACAAAGCUAAAUAAAUUCGAUUGCCCUGUAAAGCCCAUUAAAUCAAAUUAGCUUAAAAAGUAAGCAUUGUUUGAGAUUUAUUUCCAGGACCACAUUAUUCCUCCUGUUAGGCGUUAGUCCAUUAUAACUGCUCAUAACUCACAACGGUAAUCCUUUGAAAGGACAUCGAAGUUGUGAUACUUCUCCCACAAAUGACCAUAAAAAUGCAAUUAGAGGUAAAUCAUGGCAUAUUUCGUUUACGAAAAACAAAACACGCAGAAACACGAAGUGGCUGAAGCGGCUGAAGCGGCGAUGACAAAGCAUUACGUUGUUAGAUUCCGUUGCUUCACUUUUUACUAAAGUGAAAAUAAUCUAAAACUUCGACCUCAUAACAGUUUCGAUAACAGAUCAAAAGGAUGGAAUUUUCUAACACAGAAUUUUUCAUAUUCUAUCUAUAAAGCCCAAAGCGUAAUAUCCAAACAAGUUUAACAUAAAUCAAAAGCUCCCCAAACACCAGUUUAGCAACAUUACAAUUUUAGUACAGAUUUUAAUCUAUCCAUGGGAAAACUUACUAACUUUCUCGCAUAUGUACAUACAUAAUAUCACAUCUAUCACACUUACUCAAACGUACAUACAUACAUACAUACAUAUGUGCACACUCGAAUUGUACUCGUAUAGCAUACCUUUCGAGAACAUGCUAAAUGGCAUUUUUAUGCAUUUUCAAUACCAGACACUGCAUUAAAAAAGCCUUACUAACCAUUUAUAUUUGUAUUUGUAUUUGAAGAAUAAUUCAUUAUUUGGAACGCGCUCGCUUCGACCAACUGAUGCGUUCACAAGCGCAUAGCAAUUUGGCACACGGGCCAUCACACCCAUGCACACACGUGCUUAUCAUCCGUUGGCUGUUUGGUUGUUGGAACACCGCUUUAUCCCCACAGGACAUUAGAAAACAAGAAAAAUACGAUAUACAAAGAAGAGAAUGGGCAAGUGGAAAACUUUUUGUCACUCGGGGGUUUCUACGAUACAACUGUACAUGUCCCAUGAAAAAAUAUGGCAACCAAAUCGCCAUUAUACGAGUAACUACGACUGCGGUUAGUCCGAAAUCUUUCAGAGAAAAGCUGUUGAGUUUCGUCUUGAAUAUGAAAUGGCUUGGAAAAGAAAAAUUGUGUCCAAGUCACCUCGCAAAUUAUUUUCAAUAUAUAUAUGUACAUACAAGUACAUAUGUAUGUGCACACACACAUACCCACUUUGCAUUCGUUAUUUCUGAGCAUUUCGAGUAUACGAAUUAUCCUAUUAAGAAAAUAUCCGAUAAGAAACACGUUAAAGAAAAGUGAAAUGAGUUAUUCGCAGCCCGUUCAAAUAGAGGAUAGCAAUGAAGACUCAAUAAAUUUGUCGAACGAUCAA